GACGAACGCUGGCGGCGUGCUUAACACAUGCAAGUCGAACGGAAAGGCCCUGCUUUUGUGGGGUGCUCGAGUGGCGAACGGGUGAGUAACACGUGAGUAACCUGCCCUUGACUUUGGGAUAACUUCAGGAAACUGGGGCUAAUACCGGAUAGGAGCUCCUGCUGCAUGGUGGGGGUUGGAAAGUUUCGGCGGUUGGGGAUGGACUCGCGGCUUAUCAGCUUGUUGGUGGGGUAGUGGCUUACGAAGGCUUUGACGGGUAGCCGGCCUGAGAGGGUGACCGGCCACAUUGGGACUGAGAUACGGCGCAGACUCCUACGGGAGGCAGCAGUGGGGAAUAUUGCACAACGGGCGGAAGCCUGAUGCAGCAACGCCGCGUGCGGGAUGACGGCCUUCGGGUUGUAAACCGCUUUCGACGGAGACGAAGCGUGAGUGACGGUAAUGGGUAAAGAAGCACCGGCUAACUACGUG
RNAcentral lists this ribosomal RNA (468 nucleotides) under uncultured bacterium. Its description in RNAcentral is "partial 16S ribosomal RNA". It matches the Rfam family "Bacterial small subunit ribosomal RNA", at positions 28 to 507 of the family's 1533-position model. The record is from RNAcentral.